AGUGAACGCUGGCGGUAGGCCUAACACAUGCAAGUCGAACGGCAGCACAGUAAGAGCUUGCUCUUACGGGUGGCGAGUGGCGGACGGGUGAGGAAUACAUCGGAAUCUACUUUUUCGUGGGGGAUAACGUAGGGAAACUUACGCUAAUACCGCAUACGACCUACGGGUGAAAGCAGGGGAUCUUCGGACCUUGCGCGAUUGAAUGAGCCGAUGUCGGAUUAGCUAGUUGGCGGGGUAAAGGCCCACCAAGGCGACGAUCCGUAGCUGGUCUGAGAGAAUGAUCAGCCACACUGGAACUGAGACACGGUCCAGACUCCUACGGGAGGCAGCAGUGGGGAAUAUUGGACAAUGGGCGCAAGCCUGAUCCAGCCAUACCGCGUGGGUGAAGAAGGCCUUCGGGUUGUAAAGCCCUUUUGUUGGGAAAGAAAAGCAGCAGGUUAAUACCCCGCUGUUCUGACGGUACCCAAAGAAUAAGCACCGGCUAACUUCGU
Molecule: ribosomal RNA, 491 nt
Filed under: uncultured bacterium
Lineage: Bacteria
Description: partial 16S ribosomal RNA
Rfam family: Bacterial small subunit ribosomal RNA
Source: RNAcentral